GAGUCUUGCUCUGUCACCCAGGCUGGAGUGCAUGGCACAAUCUCGGCUCACUGCAACCUCCACCUCCCGGGUUCACGCCAUUCUCCUGCCUCAGCCUCCCAAGUAGCUGGGACUACAGGCGCCCGCCACCACGCCUGGCUAAUUUUUUGUAUUUUUAGUAGAGACGGGGUUUCACCGUGUUAGCUAGGAUGGUCUCGAUCUCCUGACCUUGUGGUCCGCCCACCUCGGCCUCCCAAA
This 237-nucleotide long non-coding RNA is filed under the name Homo sapiens (human). RNAcentral describes it as "HSALNT0405199". The record is from RNAcentral. Lineage: Eukaryota; Metazoa; Chordata; Mammalia; Primates; Hominidae.